Molecule: ribosomal RNA, 253 nt
Filed under: uncultured bacterium
Lineage: Bacteria
Description: partial 16S ribosomal RNA
Rfam family: Bacterial small subunit ribosomal RNA
Source: RNAcentral
UACGGAGGGUGCAAGCGUUAAUCGGAAUUACUGGGCGUAAAGCGCGCGUAGGCGGAUACUUAAGUCGAUUGUGAAAGCCCUGGGCUCAACCUGGGAACUGCAGUCGAUACUGGGUAUCUAGAGUAUGGUAGAGGUAUGUGGAAUUCCCGGUGUAGCGGUGAAAUGCGUAGAGAUCGGGAGGAACACCAGUGGCGAAGGCGGCAUACUGGACCAAUACUGACGCUGAGGUGCGAAAGCGUGGGGAGCAAACAGG